UAUAAGACUGGGAUAACUUCGGGAAACCGGGGCUAAUGCCGGAUAAUAUUUAGAACCGCAUGGUUCUAAAGUGAAAGAUGGUUUUGCUAUCACUUAUAGAUGGACCCGCGCCGUAUUAGCUAGUUGGUGGGGUAAUGGCUCACCAAGGCAACGAUACGUAGCCGACCUGAGAGGGUGAUCGGCCACACUGGAACUGAGACACGGUCCAGACUCCUACGGGAGGCAGCAGUAGGGAAUCUUCCGCAAUGGGCGAAAGCCUGACGGAGCAACGCCGCGUGAGUGAUGAAGGUCUUCGGAUCGUAAAACUCUGUUAUUAGGGAAGAACAAAUGUGUAAGUAACUGUGCACGUCUUGACGGUACCUAAUCAGAAAGCCACGGCUAACUACGUGCCAGCAGCCGCGGUAAUACGUAGGUGGCAAGCGUUAUCCGGAAUUAUUGGGCGUAAAGCGCGCGUAGGCGGUUUCUUAAGUCUGAUGUGAAAGCCCACGGCUCAACCGUGGAGGGUCAUUGGAAACUGGGAAACUUGAGUGCAGAAGAGGAAAGUGGAAUUCCAUGUGUAGCGGUGAAAUGCGCAGAGAUAUGGAGGAACACCAGUGGCGAAGGCGACUUUCUGGUCUGUAACUGACGCUGAUGUGCGAAAGCGUGGGGAUCAAACAGGAUUAGAUACCCUGGUAGUCCACGCCGUAAACGAUGAGUGCUAAGUGUUAGGGGGUUUCCGCCCCUUAGUGCUGCAGCUAACGCAUUAAGCACUCCGCCUGGGGAGUACGACCGCAAGGUUGAAACUCAAG
This 788-nucleotide ribosomal RNA is filed under the name uncultured Staphylococcus sp. RNAcentral describes it as "bacterial SSU rRNA". It matches the Rfam family "Bacterial small subunit ribosomal RNA", at positions 131 to 905 of the family's 1533-position model. Lineage: Bacteria; Bacillati; Bacillota; Bacilli; Caryophanales; Staphylococcaceae. The record is from RNAcentral.